AUUGAACGCUGGCGGCAUGCUUUACACAUGCAAGUCGAACGGUAACAGGCCGCAAGGUGCUGACGAGUGGCGAACGGGUGAGUAAUGUAUCGGAACGUGCCCAGUCGUGGGGGAUAACGCAGCGAAAGCUGUGCUAAUACCGCAUACGAUCUAUGGAUGAAAGCGGGGGACCGUAAGGCCUCGCGCGAUUGGAGCGGCCGAUAUCAGAUUAGGUAGUUGGUGGGGUAAAGGCUCACCAAGCCAACGAUCUGUAGCUGGUCUGAGAGGACGACCAGCCACACUGGGACUGAGACACGGCCCAGACUCCUACGGGAGGCAGCAGUGGGGAAUUUUGGACAAUGGGCGCAAGCCUGAUCCAGCAAUGCCGCGUGCAGGACGAAGGCC
Molecule: ribosomal RNA, 384 nt
Filed under: uncultured bacterium
Lineage: Bacteria
Description: bacterial SSU rRNA
Rfam family: Bacterial small subunit ribosomal RNA
Source: RNAcentral